RNAcentral lists this long non-coding RNA (1009 nucleotides) under Salmo trutta (river trout). RNAcentral describes it as "lncRNA (ENSSTUG00000014971.1)". The record is from RNAcentral. Lineage: Eukaryota; Metazoa; Chordata; Actinopteri; Salmoniformes; Salmonidae.
AGAAUCUGUUAUGGACUGAGAUUGAAUUCUGGAUGCAGUCCAUAACUUUGAGUUCAUAGUCUCCUUUGAUUGAAAAUUGCAGCAUGUAAUCAUAUCAAGGUAAUACAAUGUCCAAGAUUUAGUGGCGAUAUACUGUACUUAACAACGAUAUGUCAUUUAUCUAGCAACCAGUGAAAGCGAUUUUGUCAUAUCUUAUUAAAAUUACUGGACAACACUUCAGGUAAAGAAAUUAUUUUUUUACUAUGUUAUAUCUAGAGAGAACAUCCAACAAUUGGAAGUGACAUUCCUUUAAUAUAUUGUAUUAGAAAACAUGUGAUCUUCAUGCAGUUACAGAACAUACUGUAGUGUUCCUUGACCCUCACAAGUUAUUUGUUGUUGUUGUUAUCAGUGAUGACAGAUAUGGAGAAUGUUGCUUGAAAACAGCUGUGAGUGUUCUGGGGACAAUCUGUAAAGACACUGCUAAUUCAGACCACUGUGAGCUUCCACUGGACUGCCUGCAUCUGGUCAGUCUGAUUGCAGAAACUGCCGGAAGCUCCCAUCCACAGUCAGAGAAAAGUAAGGAAAACAAAGUUCUGGAGGAGACACUUCGAACAAUGAGGGACUGGCGACGAAAAGCAUUCCCAGACAAACUAGUUAACCAUGGGUCCUAUUAUACCUCAAAGAUUGAGCUUGAAAUGAAGGUAGGAAUGUUAGGCUUAAAGUCCAAGCAAUGAGAACUGUGUCGUUUUAAAUCCUUAUCAGAAGAAUCAGUCAAAAUAAUUGUACAUUAGCAUAGCAUUUUGAUGUGUACAGUGAUUGUUUCACAGAUAUUAUUUUUUCUAGGUCUGGAAAAGGUUGAUCUCAGUCACUUUUGGGAAUGAAGAAUUCACUGAACUAUGGAGAAGUACUUUCUUGAAUGAUUUUGAAGGAAAACUAAAAAAGGUAUUUAUUAUGCUUUAAAUCAAUUGUAAAACAUAUUUAAAUUCACUGUAAAACAUAUAAUACAUUUAAAGGGGCAAUCUGGAAUUGG